UACAGAGGUCCCAAGCGUUGUUCGGAUUCACUGGGCGUAAAGGGUGCGUAGGCGGUCGGGUAAGUCUGAUGUGAAAUCUCACAGCUUAACUGUGAAACUGCAUUGGAUACUAUCCGGCUCGAGGAAUGGAGGGGAGACUGGAAUACUUGGUGUAGCAGUGAAAUGCGUAGAUAUCAAGUGGAACACCAGUGGCGAAGGCGAGCCUCUGGACAUUUCCUGACGCUGAGGCACGAAAGCCAGGGGAGCAAACGGG
RNAcentral lists this ribosomal RNA (253 nucleotides) under uncultured bacterium. RNAcentral's name for it is "partial 16S ribosomal RNA". It matches the Rfam family "Bacterial small subunit ribosomal RNA", at positions 524 to 776 of the family's 1533-position model. The record is from RNAcentral.